This is a non-coding RNA of Camellia sinensis, 879 nucleotides long. Lineage: Eukaryota; Viridiplantae; Streptophyta; Magnoliopsida; Ericales; Theaceae. The record is from RefSeq and is a predicted model, not a curated record.
CUUUCUUAUCUUCAUUUUCAUCAAACUCAAUCGGCUGAGCAUCUGCAUCUCUCUCUCUCUCUCUCUCUCUGCAUGUUCAUCCAUCUCUCCAUCUUUAGUAAACCAAUCGGCUGAUCAAAUCAAGAGCCUAUGAUGAGCCAAUCGGUUGUUCAUCCAUCUUUUCCAUCUUCAUUUUUUAAGUUACCCCUCUCUCUCUUUCUCUCUCUCUCCAUGUUGAUUUUUAUUUUUAUUUUUUAUUGUUGAUGUUGUUGAUCAAGUCCAAAGCCUAUGAUUAAGGCAGAGCUACAAAGAUCUACCUCUGAGUCUAGACAAACCCAUUUCCCUUUAGAUCUGUGUCUGUUUCAGACCAAAUUAGUUGAAAAAAAUACAACAGAUACAGACCAAAUAUGUCAUCAAUCAUGCUAGAAUCCAGCUUGUGCCCUACCAUGCCAGAUAAAAUCUCUUGUUCUAAUCAAACAAAUAGAAGAAAGACCUGGAGAAGAGAGAACCGACAGAGAGAAAGAGAGAACAAAGAGAGAAAAGGGAGAAGAAAGAAGAUAAAGAAGAGAGAAAAGAGGGAGGGCUCAAGAAUUUCAACAAAUUCAACCUAAAAAGUGUUCCAAGGUCAGACUAUCGGAAAACAUUAUCAAAACCAAGCCCACUGUAAGCAGAUACGUGACCAGGCCCAGAGUUGACGGCCUAUGUUUCUGUUUUAUCAACCAACUACCGUGCCUCCUGAGAAGGUUCCUUUGAAAGGAUUAUGUCAAGGCUUUAGUUGAGCUUGUUUUGUAUAUCUAUACUUGGGCUAAGUACCCUUUGACCCUAUCUGUGUAAUUGAGUGACGUAAGACUAAUGUAUUUUUGACGUCACAUCUGUAUAUAUAUAAGUUUGUUUUGAAAA